AAAUGGAUCAAUGGAACAAGUUAUCCUAGGCAUAACAAUCUAGUUUAGAGUUCAUACUGAUAAUAGGGUUUAUAACCUUGAUGUUGGAUCAGCACAUACCCAUGGUGUAACUGCUACUAUUAGAUGUUCAUUUGUUCAGUGAUUAAAGUCCUACAUGAUCUGAGUUCAGACUGGAGCAAUCCAGGUUGGUUU
This 192-nucleotide non-coding RNA is filed under the name Bos taurus (domestic cattle). RNAcentral's name for it is "Bacterial large subunit ribosomal RNA". It matches the Rfam family "Bacterial large subunit ribosomal RNA", at positions 2442 to 2635 of the family's 2925-position model. The record is from Rfam by way of RNAcentral. RNAcentral also lists the same sequence under 1 other name. Lineage: Eukaryota; Metazoa; Chordata; Mammalia; Artiodactyla; Bovidae.